CCCUUAGAUGUUCUGGGCCGCACGCGCGCUACACUGAUGCAUUCAACGAGUCUAAAACCUGGUCUGAUAGGGCUGGGUAAUCUUUUGAAUGUGCAUCGUGAUUGGGAUAGAUGAUUGCAAUUCUUCAUCUUCAACGAGGAAUGCCUAGUAAACGCAAGUCAUCAGCUUGCAUUGAUUACGUCCCUGCCCUUUGUACACACCGCCCGUCGCUCCUACCGAUUGAAUGUUCCGAUGAAUACCAUGGACUGAGAGUAUGAAUGGGUUCGCCUAUUUCUGCGUCUCGGGAAGUGGAGUAAAUCUUAACAUUUAGAGGAAGGAGAAGUCGUAACA
This 330-nucleotide ribosomal RNA is filed under the name uncultured eukaryote. RNAcentral describes it as "partial 18S ribosomal RNA". It matches the Rfam family "Eukaryotic small subunit ribosomal RNA", at positions 1470 to 1796 of the family's 1831-position model. The record is from RNAcentral.